GAUGAACGCUGGCGGCGUGCCUAAUACAUGCAAGUCGAGCGAACAGACGAGGAGCUUGCUCCUCUGACGUUAGCGGCGGACGGGUGAGUAACACGUGGAUAACCUACCUAUAAGACUGGGAUAACUUCGGGAAACCGGAGCUAAUACCGGAUAAUAUAUUGAACCGCAUGGUUCAAUAGUGAAAGACGGUUUUGCUGUCACUUAUAGAUGGAUCCGCGCCGCAUUAGCUAGUUGGUAAGGUAACGGCUUACCAAGGCAACGAUGCGUAGCCGACCUGAGAGGGUGAUCGGCCACACUGGAACUGAGACACGGUCCAGACUCCUACGGGAGGCAGCAGUAGGGAAUCUUCCGCAAUGGGCGAAAGCCUGACGGAGCAACGCCGCGUGAGUGAUGAAGGUCUGCGGAUCGUAAAACUCUGUUAUUAGGGAAGAACAAAUGUGUAAGUAACUAUGCACGUCUUGACGGUACCUAAUCAGAAAGCCACGGCUAACUACGU
Molecule: ribosomal RNA, 496 nt
Filed under: uncultured bacterium
Lineage: Bacteria
Description: partial 16S ribosomal RNA
Rfam family: Bacterial small subunit ribosomal RNA
Source: RNAcentral